UGUGAGGUUAAGCGACUAAGCGUACACGGUGGAUGCCCUGGCAGUCAGAGGCGAUGAAGGGCGUGCUAAUCUGCGAUAAGCGCCGGUAAGGUGAUAUGAACCGUUAUAACCGGCGAUACCCGAAUGGGGAAACCCAGUGUGAUUCGUCACACUAUCAUUAACUGAAUCCAUAGGUUAAUGAGGCGAACCGGGGGAACUGAAACAUCUAAGUACCCCGAGGAAAAGAAAUCAACCGAGAUUCCCCCAGUAGCGGCGAGCGAACGGGGAGGAGCCCAGAGCCUGAAUCAGCAUGUGUGUUAGUGGAAGCGUCUGGAAAGGCGCGCGAUACAGGGUGACAGCCCCGUACACAAAAGCGCAUGUGCUGUGAGCUCGAUGAGUAGGGCGGGACACGUGGUAUCCUGUCUGAAUAUGGGGGGACCAUCCUCCAAGGCUAAAUACUCCUGACUGACCGAUAGUGAACCAGUACCGUGAGGGAAAGGCGAAAAGAACCCCGGCGAGGGGAGUGAAAAAGAACCUGAAACCGUGUACGUACAAGCAGUGGGAGCCCCACCACUAAGCCAGUGGUGAACUCCACAUACGCAUCCUUUGCUGAGGAUACGGUUAACGGAGCGAAAGCGACGUUCAACCUCAAAAGAAGCAGAGG
Molecule: ribosomal RNA, 643 nt
Filed under: Salmonella enterica
Lineage: Bacteria; Pseudomonadati; Pseudomonadota; Gammaproteobacteria; Enterobacterales; Enterobacteriaceae
Description: partial 23S ribosomal RNA
Rfam family: Bacterial large subunit ribosomal RNA
Source: RNAcentral